UGAGGAACCUACCCCGGACUCAGGGAUAACGGCUGGAAACGGCUGCUAAUACCUGAUGCCGUCGGAGCAUCACAUGGUGCACUGACGAAAGAAUCUCGGUUCGGGAGGGUCUCGCGGCCUAUCAGCUAGUUGGUGGGGUAACGGCCUACCAAGGCAUCGACGGGUAGCUGGUCUGAGAGGAUGAUCAGCCACACUGGGACUGAAACACGGCCCAG
This 215-nucleotide ribosomal RNA is filed under the name uncultured bacterium. Its description in RNAcentral is "partial 16S ribosomal RNA". It matches the Rfam family "Bacterial small subunit ribosomal RNA", at positions 118 to 334 of the family's 1533-position model. The record is from RNAcentral.